AUUAAGAGCUUGCUCUUAUGAAGUUAGCGGCGGACGGGUGAGUAACACGUGGGUAACCUGCCCAUAAGACUGGGAUAACUCCGGGAAACCGGGGCUAAUACCGGAUAACAUUUUGAACCGCAUGGUUCAAAAUUGAAAGGCGGCUUCGGCUGUCACUUAUGGAUGGACCCGCGUCGCAUUAGCUAGUUGGUGAGGUAACGGCUCACCAAGGCAACGAUGCGUACCCGACCUGAGAGGGUGAUCGGCCACACUGGGACUGAGACACGGCCCACACUCCUACGGGAGGCAGCAGUAGGGAAUCUUCCGCAAUGGACGAAAGUCUGACGGAGCAACGCCGCGUGAGUGAUGAAGGCUUUCGGGUCGUAAAACUCUGUUGUUAGGGAAGAACAAGUGCUAGUUGAAUAAGCUGGCACCUUGACGGUACCUAACCAGAAAGCCACGGCUAACUACGUGCCAGCAGCCGCGGUAAUACGUAGGUGGCAAGCGUUAUCCGGAAUUAUUGGGCGUAAAGCGCGCGCAGGUGGUUUCUUAAGUCUGAUGUGAAAGCCCACGGCUCAACCGUGGAGGGUCAUUGGAAACUGGGAGACUUGAGUGCAGAAGAGGAAAGUGGAAUUCCAUGUGUAGCGGUGAAAUGCGUAGAGAUAUGGAGGAACACCAGUGGCGAAGGCGACUUUCUGGUCUGUAACUGACACUGAGGCGCGAAAGCGUGGGGAGCAAACAGGAUUAGAUACCCUGGUAGUCCACGCCGUAAACGAUGAGUGCUAAGUGUUAGAGGGUUUCCGCCCUUUAGUGCUGAAGUUAACGCAUUAAGCACUCCGCCUGGGGAGUACGGCCGCAAGGCUGAAACCUCAAAGGAAUUGACGGGGGCCCGCACAAGCGGUGGAGCAUGUGGUUUAUUUCGAAGCAACGCGAAAAACCUUACCAGGUCUUGACAUCCUCUGACAACCCUAGAGAUAGGGCUUCUCCUUCGGGAGCAGAAUGACAGGUGGUGCAUGGUUGUCGUCAGCUCGGGCCGGGAAAUGUUGGGUUAAGUCCCGCAACGAGCGCAACCCUUGAUCUUAGUUGCCAUCAUUAGUUGGGCACUCUAAGGUGACUGCCGGUGACAAACCGGAGGAAGGUGGGGAUGACGUCAAUCUUCUGCCCCUUAUGACUGNGCUACCCCGGGCUAAAUGGACGGUCAAAAGUUCCAAACCCGGGGUGGACUAAUCCUAAAACCUUUCCCUUCGGAUUGAGGGGCACCCCCCAUGAAACUGGAACCUUUUAAUCCGGAAACAAUGCCCGGGGAAAAUUUCCGGGCUUUAACCCCCCCUCCCCCCAAGUUUUACCCC
RNAcentral lists this ribosomal RNA (1328 nucleotides) under Bacillus cereus. Its description in RNAcentral is "bacterial SSU rRNA". It matches the Rfam family "Bacterial small subunit ribosomal RNA", at positions 71 to 1410 of the family's 1533-position model. Lineage: Bacteria; Bacillati; Bacillota; Bacilli; Caryophanales; Bacillaceae. The record is from RNAcentral.